UCCUCUCAAGUAAUAGAAAUAGUUCUUCUCUCAAGUAUUAUCUCCUCCUAAAUUUCUCACAAAGUUCUCACUACAACCUUCUCCUUUUCCAACAAGAAUGUAUAUGAUUUGUCUGUAACUGGUUUACUUCUGUUCAUAAACAAAAUCCAGCCAUCACAGCUUGUAGAGGAACAGGGAAAUGCUUUAAGAUUUUUUUUAAUUUAGAGAUGCAAAUGAAAUCAUAGUGGUGGCAUUUUCAGUACUAUUACAUUGAUGUCAUUUAUCAUCCUUAUGUUUACAAAAAUUAAAACACAUGAAAAUAUUGAAAUGUAAUCCGCAAAUCAUUGAUUGCUUCUUCAUCUCUAUCUGAUGUAGGAUGAUUGGCAGCACGAAUCGAAUAUGAAGUUGCGAGUAAGAAAUGUUCGACAGGAAUAGUAAAGGUUUGACAUCCGAUGUGAGAAUAACUAUUAAUAUACCUUUUCAAAAAGGGAAUUGGCCCACGAGUGGAACUCAUGCUUUGCCAUGAAGUAUAGGAUUUUUCAGUCAUCCAGUUCAUCUGAAGAUCGAAAAUUAGAUUAUACUAUUUCAGUCCACUUUUAAUAAUUUUUGUUUUAUUUUCUGUUUUGGAUUUUCGGUUCAUUAGGGUUUCUUUAGUAUUUAAACACUUUGUAGUUUGAGAGUUUUUUCAUUCAGUAAUAUUUUAGAGAGUUUUUUCAUUCAGUAAUAUUUUAGAGAGUUUUCUCAAUUUCUGGUGGAUUCUAAAAUCCUAUUUUCACAUAUUGUCGCUUGCAAAUUAAACUUGUCUAUUUUCAACCCCCACUUCGGUCGGU
Molecule: long non-coding RNA, 809 nt
Filed under: Medicago truncatula (barrel medic)
Lineage: Eukaryota; Viridiplantae; Streptophyta; Magnoliopsida; Fabales; Fabaceae
Description: lncRNA gene40141
Source: RNAcentral